Long non-coding RNA from Puntigrus tetrazona (Sumatra barb), 2274 nucleotides. RefSeq lists it as uncharacterized. The record is from RefSeq and is a predicted model, not a curated record. NCBI's taxonomy places the organism in Eukaryota, Metazoa, Chordata, Actinopteri, Cypriniformes, Cyprinidae. The transcript has 2 exons.
UCUCCUAUGUUAAUAUAAACGCAUAUAAUCACCAUUUAUGAUUAUUAUAUCUAUUACGUCUGAAUCUUUAUUAGGUAUGAUUACGAUAUUAUAUUAGACAAUUCAAGCGUUAAGGAUUGCCACUUCAACCCUUUGCGUGCUCUUUCUCUUCCCCAAACGCUCAUCGCUGAGUUCGAUUAAACGCGGGUAUUAGCCUCGCAAGGAUCUAUUUCCAUGCCGACUAAACAAAGCAGUGAUUUUUUUUUUCCCCCCUCCGACGCCGCUGUGUUCGGGCUGUGUGACGUCAUGGACUGUAUGUGACUGUACGCAGCGCGUGCCGUGGAGCGCGUGCUCCGAGCACAUGGAAAAGGGCUCGAGACGAAGUACCCAAAGAAUAACUCCAACCUGAAAUGGAAUAUCAGUAACAAAAUAAUCAAAUCUGGAGCAAAAGGGAAGUGCUGCAUGUCUUCUCUACAUUCCAUCGAGGGAGGUAUCUGGCUAAUUCUUCUCGAAGAGAGUCUCUCUCCCUGUCCCCCUGAAUAUGUCAGAGAAACCUGCUGGAGUUGAGUUCAUGGAGAGCAGACUGAAUCCUUACAUGACCGCCACAUCUGUGCUCUCAAUGUAAACAGAUCGAGUGUUCGGCCUGGGCUGCCUAUAGAAUAUGAAUGGAGGCAAUACAUCGACUGGAUGUUACACAAUACGGGGUCACCGUAAAGCUACAGAUAAUCCGAUGAUUUAUUAAUCAGUGUUGAUGUGAAAAAUUCAAUGAAAUAUAAGAUUUCAUAUGUUAGUAAUGCAAGCGGUAUUUUGUUUUGACUAUCAGAUGUUCUAUGGACCUCACAACGGCAGCAAACAAUACUGCCUACCUGGAAAGCUUUCCUUUAUAACCAAACUCUGUGCCUCUGUCUGGUUUAGCUGCUUGUUAGUAGCCCCUUUUUUUUAAAACAGAACGUUUUUUAUGCCAUAGAACAAAAUUGAAAAAACUAAUUUCAGACAACUAAAAAAAGUUAAACAUAACUUCUGCAAUGAUGAAGCCAGAGUUUAAUUCCUUUUAAAACAAUAAAUAAAUAUUUAAUUCAAUUGGUCCUUCCAAAGCCCAUUUUUCAAACUCAGUGACAGAAAGUAACAGGUGGGAGGUCAGAAGUCGCUCUGUGGGGGCUCGCCGGGGUCAGAGGAGAAAAAGACUGAUGGGACAUAAACAUUUGGAGCUUCCCAGCAUGACGGUGUGUGAGAGAGAUUAUGCACAAGGGCGAAAGUGUGAGGAACAAUAAAGAAAUCGAGCCGUGUGCUUUUGUGUGAUGGGUACGAGUGAACAGGAGGUGAGUGGGAGGACAGAAAAAAAGAGAGACGGACCGGGAACUGUAUGGCUUUCAUAUCAGAAUUUUUGUCUUGUUAAGACUUGUCAACAUCAAUUGUUCUAUUCAUUUGCACAAAAUACAGAUGGAGCCUUGACAACUCAGUUUAGCAAAUAACUUCAUGUCAGCUGCUCCGAGGAGAGCAAAGUCAGUUGCAUUGAAGUCAUUGUCAGUAUAUAAUUCUCAGUUCUUCAGGCCAAAUACUGUGAUGCAUUGAGUCAGUGCAUUCCUCAAUAAUGGCUCUACAAAUCGAAUUAACUGCUGAUCCAUGAAACAACAUGUCCACAGACACUGUAAAAGCAAUUAUCUUUACAGAGGAGGCUUUUUGUCAUGUGUUUUCAAUUGUGCUAUACAGUAUUUUUCCAUUAUAUGUUACACUAAAUAUGUAAUUUCAUACAUCCACAUGGAAUUCUCACUGAUAAAGUGAGAUAAAACUGUUCUAGUAAUUAAUGAUGAAAAGAAAUCAUUAAGAAAAGUGUGCAUAUAACACUAAAGUACUAUUUUUGAUCUAUUUUAAAUACUGUCUAACCAAAUUAUUUUAAAUAUCAUAUUAUGGUUAUACUCUGGUACUUAAGGGUAUGGUAAUGUAAAUAGCAUUAUGUGCUUUAGCGUAACAUUAACAGUUGAGGAAAACAUUUUAUUCGCCAGGUUAUUGUUGUCUGUUAAAUAUUUGAUUAGCUCCCUGUUAAAUAUUUGAGAGCAGUGAGGGAUAAAGCAUUUUCAGUUGAUGCUGAAUCAUUAUAUGUGCUGGCCCAUGAAUAACUGUCCCACUGCGGUGAUCUCAGUUAUAACAGUUAAGGUCUGACAGACCAGAUAAAGCAGGCUAAAAACACUGGCACAUGGUCUUGAAAUGUGAUUGUCAUGAACUGCAUUGCUGUAUUACAUAUGCUUUGCUCUGGAAGAUGAUUAGGACAAAUAAAUACUGACCUUACCAUUUAAA